Molecule: ribosomal RNA, 548 nt
Filed under: Glyphoglossus yunnanensis (Yunnan squat frog)
Lineage: Eukaryota; Metazoa; Chordata; Amphibia; Anura; Microhylidae
Description: partial large subunit ribosomal RNA
Source: RNAcentral
CAGGAAAAGGAUUUAAGUCCUACCUUAAGUUUCUUCGUAACUCUAAUUACUUCACAAAACUUAAGAGCUAUUCAAAUAAGGUACAGCCUAUUUGAAACAGGAUACAACCUACAACAUUGGGUAAUGAAUUCUGCUUCAUAAUUAAGUGGGCCUAAGAGCAGCCACCUUUAAAAAAGCGUUAAAGCUUUAUUAUACUAGCUCAAUAAUUACAUUAAUCCCCCAAAACCCUUAUCUCAUACUGAGUGAUUUCAUAAUAUUAUGAAAAACCAUAUGCUAGAACUAGUAACAAGAAGAAGACCUUCUCCAAAAAUGUACGUAUAAGCCAAAAUGAACAACUCAUUGGCAUUUACCGCUUAUGAACUAACAGUAGUAACUCAACAAGAAAACUCUACUAUCCAUAACGUUAACCUUACACUAGCACAUUCCCGGAAAGAUUAAAAGGAAGGGAAGGAACUCGGCAAAUAAUAACCUCGCCUGUUUACCAAAAACAUCGCCUCCUGAAUAAUUAUAGGAGGUCCAGCCUGCCCAGUGACAAAGUUAAACGGCCG